Molecule: ribosomal RNA, 430 nt
Filed under: Acidobacteriota bacterium
Lineage: Bacteria; Pseudomonadati; Acidobacteriota
Description: Acidobacteria bacterium partial 16S ribosomal RNA
Rfam family: Bacterial small subunit ribosomal RNA
Source: RNAcentral
UGGGGAAUAUUGGACAAUGGGCGAAAGCCUGAUCCAGCCAUGCCGCGUGUGUGAUGAAGGCCUUUUGGUUGUAAAGCACUUUAAGCGAGGAGGAGGCUAAUUGGAUUAAUACUUCAGGAUAGUGGACGCUACUCGCAGAAUAAGCACCGGCUAACUCUGUGCCAGCAGCCGCGGUAAUACAGAGGGUGCGAGCGUUAAUCGGAUUUACUGGGCGUAAAGCGUGCGUAGGAGGCUUCUUAAGUCGGAUGUGAAAUCCCUGGGCUUAACUGAGGAAUUGCAUUGGAUACUGGGAAGCUAGAGUAUGGGAGAGGAUGGUGGAAUUCCAGGUGUAGCGGUGAAAUGCGUAGAGAUCUGGAGGAAUACCGAUGGCGAAGGCAACCAUCUGGCCUGCUACUGAAGCUGAGGUACGAAAGCAUGGGGAGCAAACAGG